AGAUUGCAAUUUAUUGCUCUUGAUUGGCUCGCCAGAGCCGCCCAGUGUUUGAAGGACAUGCAGUUUUUGUCCGGCUAAUACAUUACGAGGACGUAUGCGAAUUUAGGUUGGUUCUCUUCCCCCACUCCUUCUGUCUCAGGUCUGGAUGCUGCAGGCUGUGUCCAGGCUGAGUAGAGCAGCGGUGCGUGUUAGGCGAGUGGCCGCCCAGGUCCAGGUCACCACUGUAACCAUGGCCCAGAAUCACCAGAGCUGUGGUACCUACUGUCAACAGAAGGGGGGUGCUGUCACAGCAGCCAUCCUCAUCAUCGGGGACGAGAUACUCAAGGGUCACACGGUGGACACUAACAGUGCCUUCCUGUCGCGAGCGCUGAGGAAGCUGGGAGUGUGUGUCCAGCGUGUCACAGUAAUCCCAGACCAGCAGGAGGUUAUCUCUAAGGAGGUAGCCCUCCUGGCCCCACAGUACACACACCUGAUCACCUCUGGGGGAAUAGGCCCCACCCACGACGACGUCACCUUCGAAGGUGUUGCCAUGGCGUUCGAGGAGGAACUGCAUGCCCACCCGGAGCUGACCCGUUUGGUGGAGGAGUUCUUUGGGGUGGUGGAUAGGGAGAAUGCAGCCAUGAAGCUAGCCAUGGUCCCCCGCUCGGCCAAGCUCAACUACGGCACUGACCCUCAGACUGGAAAGCCACUACGCUACCCACUGGUGAGUGUGCAUAACGUCUACAUCUUCCCUGGGAUCCCGUCUCUGUUGGAGAGAGCCUUCAACGGUCUGGAGCACCUGUUCGCUGGCUCAGGGACCACCUUCCACACACGAGAGGUGUUUGUGGAUGCAGACGAGGCGUUGAUCGCCCCGGUGCUGACCCGCCUGCAGGCGGGCUGGGGGAAGAGGGUGGCUCUGGGCUCCUACCCUGACUGGCUCAGUAACUACCACCGGGUCAGGCUGGUGCUGGAUUCAGACAGCUCGGAGGAGGUGGAGAAGGCCCGAGCUCAGCUGCUGGAGGAGAUGCCCAAAGGCAGUGUGGUUCCCCUGGUCACGGACUCUGUGUCCAUUGCUACUGAGGAGGUCUACACCCUGGCCAACAGCGGCACACCACUGGGUGAUAAAGUGGCAAACGCUCUGAAGACCAUAGAGACUGCUCUGGAUCAGUAUUCGGCAGGGGAGAUCUGUGUGGGCUUCAAUGGAGGCAAAGACUGCACUGCUCUACUACAUCUAUAUUACGCUGCACUGAAACGGCGGUAUCCGGAGGGUAAGGACAAGGUAAAGGCUCUGUACAUUCGCAUCGUCUCUCCCUUCCCAGAGAUGGAGAGAUUCCUCCAGGACACAAUAAAGAGAUAUGACCUGGAGAUUUUCUCAGUGGAGGGCAGUAUUCGGCAGGCAUUGAGUGAGGUACAGGAGAGGAGGCCGGAGCUGAGAGCUGUGUGUAUGGGCACCAGGAGGAGUGACCCCUACUCACACACACUCACACCCAUGUGUCUCACUGACCCUGGAUGGCCGGACUACAUGAGGGUCAACCCCCUGCUGGACUGGAUGUAUCAUGAUAUCUGGUCAUUCCUGAGGACUCUAUAUGUGCCCUACUGUAUUCUAUAUGAUAAAGGGUACACCUCAUUGGGCAGCAUGGACAACACCUGCCGAAACCCCGCCCUCCAAGUGGUGGAUGGGAGGGGCGUGAGCCGCUAUAGACCUGCCCACCACUUGGAGAAUGAGGAAAUGGAGCGCGACUCACGUGAAUGAUGUUUGUAACGUCAUGUCCUGAUCUUUUAUCCGCCCUUCCUGUUUGGGGCUCCAGAACAGUUGACUCAGGAUGGGACAGCAUUCAUUUUACAGUAGGUCUAAUAUGCAGUUUCAGUGUCCAACCUCACAGGAGCGUUGUUCUCACGUUUUUCAUUUAGCCCUUUGAUGACAAUAAAUGACCCUUUCUGUUUUCAAGCGUGACUGAAUCCCGGCGUAUGGAUUCCCCUCUCCCCGCCAGGAGAUUAGUCGAUGCUCCGGCAGCAGGGAUCGAUACAGGCCAAUCUAAUCAAGCGGGUCGCUUACGAGGCCUCCCCAGGCCUCACACAAUGUUACAGCAUCAAUUACCUUCUCUGCUCUGUCUCACUCCCGUGUCCUCCAACUUCACUGGUCUGGGUGUUAUGGUGUGAUUAGAUUAUUAUUAAUAAGAGCGACAAUAAGAUGAGAUAUUACAAUUAUAAAGGUAAUGGUGUUAGAUUGUGGGACUUGAUAGGUGAUUGUCUGGAAUAUGAUGUAGGUAUAUUUGGAGUGAUUACUUUAUAUUGGUUAAGAUGCUUGUCAAUUACAAAUGUAGUGUGUGUGUGUGUGGCACGUGUUCAGUAUGUAAUUAUUUCAGAGAAGCAGGUGUGCCCCUCUUCCCCAAUAUCUACCCCAUACCCUCUCUCUCCUCCAUCCUCAUAUCCCUCCCUUUCCUUCAUCACUCCCUCUCCCCUGCUGACCCUUAUUCCCUCUAGUCUUUAAUGUUCAACUUUCAGAGUUUACCGUCUCCUAAACAGGAGCUAGAUGGUGCCAAUCUUUCCCAUUUGUCUGGGAUGGAGCCUGCAGAUUUCCCAUAAUGCAUAUUGCUAAAUUUAUUUACUCAACAGAUGCCAUGAAAAACAGACACAGCUUGACUUUAGACCACUGUUGAUGUCAAAAAGGUGUGAAAAAUCUGACAGACUUGGAUUUGGUAGAGAGCUAUUGCCUUAACGUCUCCAGAUGUAAGCCUUCUUCAGAUAGUGUAUGUGUUCUAUAGAGGAACGUCUCUAAUCCAAUUGCAUGCUGGCUCUGUGUUAGAGGAGACAGAGGCAGCAUGAGACAGCGAUUCGGCUCCCUGUCCUGAGAGAUGCUGAACACUCAGGAUGAAUGGAUUCUCAGUUGUUAGAAAUCAUCUGGAGAGGAGCGAGAGCUUUGAGUCUAUGCAAAUCACAAACUGAUCAGCAUGUAAAGUCGACCAACAGGAACGCAGGAAAUGUGAUGUUCAGUAUCAAAGUGUCACAUUUAAAGGGGAUGAAAGUGAGAGAAUAAGAGUGAGAGAGAGCUCUUUGAACCAUCUCAUGUGAGGUGAUUUACAUUUGUCUAGCUUUGGUUUCUACACAUAACGGUAUUCUCAUAAUCUCAGGUUUGCCACAGUUCUGAGUUCACUUAAUACAACCUAGACCCCUGCUUGUAUUGGGGUACAUGAAGGAGUUUCUGAAAAGCAUUUCAAACCAGACAUCACAGGGUUCACUCAAAGUAAAUGCAGCAUGGCUUACAGAUUCAAUACCACUUUUCUGAAACUGAUGAGAAAAUUCAGAGAUUGGAUUUGUGGGGUUCAUGUUUUGUACUGAACAUUAACACAGCAAAAUAUAUCCAGAAGGGAAUUGCAACGUCCUUCAGAUUGUCGCUAUUAAAGGACGUUGCAACUCAGUAAACGGUAGGCCUAGAUAAGGCUGAGAAGUAUUUGAUUGGGCAAGAACGUCUUGACCGAUUGGUCAGUUUGUGUGUAACAGUCCAUUGUCCCUGAAAGACUGAUCAAACGAGAGUUUGUGAAGUUGUAAAAAUUACGUCAUGGUAAAAACCACCUUCUCACUUGGUUUUGAACGCAGCAUUAGACACUGAUCUAUACAACUAAUUGAAUACAAAUGUCACUGAACUUGUGUUUAAAGAAUGUCUUGCCAUUUCUCAGUAACCUAAAAUAUCACACAACUUGUCUGUUGAUGAAUUAAACAUGUUUAAUAGUAUAUGGUAUGUCUGCUCUAAAUAAAGUUAUUCAAAAACCCACUGGAAUGUCAAAUAAAGAGAAAAUGUGUAUAAAUUCUCCUAAUAGGUUUCAGAAACUUAAGCAUAUAAAUUACUGUAAUGUGGCUGGUGUGGCUGUUUUUAUAGAUGCAUACAACCUUUAUUUAAAGUGACUCACCUGACUAUCACCGGUCAUGCAGCACGACAGGGAUGACAACAUUUCCUCUGUAAUUUGUAAAGGGAAUCAGAAAAGGACAUUUACCACUAUGGUGGAAAUGACAAGAUACACUGGGCCUUUAGUCUGUUUUAAUCAGAGAUAUGAUUACCAUCAAAUGGUUGUUUUAUGGAACAGAAUAAGGGGGUUGUUAGAACACUCAUCUCUGUGUGUACUGAGGAUGGGGCCUCUGGAAGAUUUACCAUGUCUUUGGAUGAUACCACAUUCCAGAGCAUGAGUUAAUGUUUUUGUACUGGAGUACCAGGGGGAGAUGGCUCCAGUAUGGAGUUUGGGGCCAGACACUGGUCUCUACACAAUGAGAACUGUUUUUACUGUCUGCUGUGAGUUAUAAGUAUAUUUCAUAGAAAUCUUAACCUUGUGACCCAUUCCAUACAUCUGUUGUUUGUCAUGUAGACUGAAUGGACUUUGCUAUAAAAUGCUGUGGAUGAAA
Oncorhynchus gorbuscha (pink salmon) is the source of this 4374-nucleotide RNA transcript. It is a transcript of the gene named FAD synthase-like, with no coding region annotated. NCBI's taxonomy places the organism in Eukaryota, Metazoa, Chordata, Actinopteri, Salmoniformes, Salmonidae. The record is from RefSeq and is a predicted model, not a curated record. The transcript has 11 exons.